AUGUCGCACCCAACCCCCGACAUUUGGCGCCCACCAUGGUGUGGUACUACUACUAUGCUACUACGCUGCUGCUGGUUUCGCUGUCCGGGCGGGACCCUUUUUUCUUCAUCGCCUCCGCCGCGGCGUCGCGCCUUCUCUCCGGUAGCGCUCGGGGGCUCGACGUCGACCCGCCCCCGGAGCGACCGAAAGGGGUGGCGCGUCCUCGCCGUCGGCCUCUUCAUCACCACCAUUGCGAUGCCAGCUAUCCGUCCGCGCGCGCGCCGCGCACGGGGCCUCGUUUUGGUCGACCGUGGCCAUCCACGCGCCGCUUGCAUUUGCUUCCCCCCGCGUCGCGCCUUGCUCUGGCCGACACACGAGCGCUCGCUCCUCCAUACUCCAUCUUUGCAAGCUAACUAG
RNAcentral lists this ribosomal RNA (396 nucleotides) under Triticum aestivum (bread wheat). RNAcentral's name for it is "partial small subunit ribosomal RNA". Lineage: Eukaryota; Viridiplantae; Streptophyta; Magnoliopsida; Poales; Poaceae. The record is from RNAcentral.